UACUGCUGCUGGCUAGGGGCAGGGUAAGCUCUCGUGCUCUCAUGCCCCCAGGGCCAGCUCUCCCACAAUGUCCAGGUGAAGGGUGGACCUAGUUGUGCACAAUGCUCAGACAUCAGGAUGUCCCUGGCAAGCAGCCUAGAUCGGAGUCUUUUGCCUGGCCUUUGGUGGUAACAGACCUCUGUUGAUGGAGGGCCACUGAGCCUUACAUAGCAGCUGGUGGCACCACGGGCCAGGAACCCACCAUGGUCCCAGGGAGCAUCACUGGCUACUCACAUCAGACUGUUCCUCACUACCCUUGAGUCUCCAGUCUACCUGUCUUCAUUGUGCCCAUAAUCUUCUCUUUCUCUUCCUGUUUCAUUUCUCCACCACUUACUUGCUUCUUUUAGUGGCACCUGAGGACUCUUAGUGUCUGCGGUCACCUCAGGACUGUUGUCAGGACUGCUAUGCCCUGCGCAGGCAUCAUGGAGCUGGCCAGGGAUCCUCUUGGGCAUAGUCUGCUCCCCAAGGCUUGCAGGUCUUGCAGAUCACUGGACUGGUGAUCAUCUCAGCCUUCUCCUUGUCUGGGCUCCAUGGUGUCCACCUGGUGAUCCUCUAGGCUGUGCUCCUCACCUGCCCAGAUAGUGGCCCCUUGGGUGGAUCAUUGGUCUCAGGCUCACUACUACCCAGAGCCUGCAGUCCAAAGAGUUGGGGGUGUUUCUUCUAGUCUCUGGCUUGCUCCCCAUCCUGAGAGCCCAUCUGGGCCUGACUGGCAGCAGACUGGGGAUUUCUCAACAGAUAGAAGCCCAUGGUGGAGAGGACUUCCUCAUAGCUGGAGGAGGGUCCAGGUGCUUGUCAGGACCUCCUGAAGAUUGUGAGGGCCACUCCUUUGAGGGUAGUGUGCAGUCUGUGCUUUUGAGUCAUGUCAGAAUUGUCAAAAUUGAGAUAACUGGAGGAAUAGAGCUGCCCUGGUUCUGGGUAGGCAAGUUCUUUUUCACUGUGACAAUUGGUUGUUUAGUCUGAAGAGUCUUGAUCUUUGCUGGCCUGUCUGUAGCUCAGUUGACAGUUCCCAAAGGUCUUCUGCCAGCUUUAGGUAAAGCUAGUCAAAAUUGAACAUUUUGUCUGCUUGGGAUACUGGAAGCUCCUGCAAUUUCCCUAAGGCCUUGACUUGGGAUCCCAAUUUUGCCCCAUCUUUAGGAGCCUGGCUCUCUGUUAGCCUUAUCCACAAAGAUAGAAUAUCCAUCCUGGAUUACUCCACAUUGUCCUCAAAGCCAAGACUUCACCUAAUAAUAUUUUUUCUAAUUAAAUCAGAAAUAAGAUCAUCUAAAGAGGUUGUUGAAGUGUGGGGUGAUGUUGGAAGAACAGAAACUGAUGAGAAAGUGCACAAUAUCCAGGCAGCAUUAUUGUAGUUAGACUUUGUUCUUGUAGAUAUGUAGCUUUUCAUGUAGAAGCUUCAGUGUGGGAGCUCUGAUCAUGUGAUGGGACUGAUGCAGCUCAGUAAGCCUGGAAGGCAAAGUAUAAAGUCCCAUGUAGACAGUUCUGUCCAGGAAGUAUGGUCACUGCUCAUGUUUCUAGCCAUGCUUCAUUCCUGCGGUGGCAUCUGGUCUGUCUCCGGGAACAGCUAACAGGGUUAAAGGGGACUUUGACACUUGACACCUACCUAUCGGAACAAAACUAGGAGUCUCAUUCAUUCUUCUCAAUGAGAUGAGAUCUAGUCAACACGUCCUGGAACAUACAACACCCCGUCUUUCCUGCAAGCACAUUCUCCGCUCCAACCAUCCCAGCACGGAGUUUCCUGUGUGCUUGAGAACUGGGACUUUUUCCCAGCAUUCAGAUGUGCAACCUGCCCCGGGAGCGCAGUCCUUUGCCCAGUGCCUACCAUCUAAUUUACUUGGACCUGAGAGUCAUGAGGGGUGAUUUUCCUCCAGCCCCUCCUGGAACCCCACAACGCGGCGCGACAUCCCAGAGCUGUGCGGGUGGGCUGGCAGAAACACUCCUACAUUUCUCCAAGUUCCCUAACUCUUGCCGAUCUCGUCAGACCUGCUCUCCUCCCUAAGUCACCGAAACGCCGCCAGUGGGGUCGCUCGACUCUCUCUGGCACGCGUGGCCCAGGAGCCAGCCUGGAGAAGGGCAAGCGGCCGUGCUCAUAUCUGUGCUCUCCGAGGCUGCCUCCACGUGUCCUUCCCUAACCCCUCACGCCCCGCAGCGACCCUCUCCGGCUGGACCCCUGGCGUGGCCCCGGGAAGGUGUGACCCCCACGGGUCAAGUUCAGCUGGGCGUUGGGGUCCCCCUCUGCGCCCUUGCUUGGGCGCAUGACGUUUCCUACCCGAUGACACCCGCAGCGGGAGCAGCAGCAGUAGCAGCAGCAGCAGCAACACCAGGAGGGCGUGGACUCCACAGCCCCGGAGCCGCGGAGAGGCCAUGGCUGAUCGUCCCUCGCGGUGACCCACCGGGAUGCAAGGCUGGGGUCCCUUGGAGGUGCCUAGCUCAGCUCCAAGACCAGCCGGCAGCCAGGAGCAUUCGCUUUCGCUUUUGCUUUAGCCCCCGGGGUUGCAGAGAGGUGCUAAGUGGUGACAGAUCUGUGACUCAGCAUCCCCACCCCUGCUCUGGAAGAAGCCCCGGAGGGCCCCAGUGACACCCCCUCCCCAGUGAGACUGCUUUUGUCCUCAGAAGCUCGGGGGCCUCACCUGUAUAAGCCGCGAUCUCCCUUUUGCUCCUUGAUGCUGUCUUCACUGCAGAGGCAAAUUCCUUUGGGUCCACUCUGCUGCUUUUGCUUCCACACCUGACUCCAACCUCGUCCAUUUGUCUCCUACCCUGGCUGCUGGCCUUCAGUAGUUCCGAUUGCAAUUCAGAGUUUCCCUCCCUGUAUCCCUCGAUUGAGGAGGUGUCUGUCGCCCCGGUGCAGCCAGCGGCAGUUCUGAGCGGAUGGUAGAUUCUACACCCAGAUCAGUUUCCUGGUGCACUCCAGCCUCAAGAAAAGAGCACAUCUGUUCCUAGCUGCCUGCCUGCAGUGGUAAUGGCAAUGACUAACUCCUCUCCAGGCCCAGGACACUUUGCUGUGUUCCGGCUGUACCUUUCUAACUCAAGAAAAUGCCAAGUAGAGGGAGAGGGAAAGAGAGAAGGGAUAGGAAAAGAGGGAGGAGGAAAGGCCGGGGAAGAUGGGGGGGGAGAAAAGGCAUUGAGUUAAAAAAAAAAAGGAAAGGAGAAAGGUGGGAGGAGAGGGGGAAGGGAGAGAAGGAAGGCAAGUUAUUCAUCUCUAUACCUCACAUUUGAUUUCUUUAGACAAUAGUCUUCAGCAUCUAAGAAAACAUCCUCUUUUAAGUAUGUGGUUUUGUUUGUUUGUUCGUUUGUUUGUUUUAUUUUUAACUUUCUUGAGAUUUUAAGUCAAUCCCCAUGCUGUGGAGGAUGGGAUCUGGCCCUGGGAAAACACUGAGCGCUCAGUGAGAAAUGCUCCUGUCUAUAUAGAUGUGGUUUUAGGAAGACAGACAAACCUUAGUUUCAGUUUAUAGCUUUCUAAAUAAAAUCUAGCACCAUCAUGGAGCCAGGGAGAGAAUUCAUGCUGAUACUGUUUGGAAAAAAAUGUAGAGAAACAUGUGACUGAAGUUUCCCAUCCCCCUAGGCACACUAGGAAAAGGUGACCUUUCUAUAUUUGUCCCCCUCUUCCCUACAAAGUCUUAAAAUUGGCACAAUAAAUAUGAAAAAUGCACAAUAAGAGUUCAGAGAGAGGAUCAGAAACCACAUAUCCCCGUCUCUUACAAUUAAUGAAAGAGCUGGAGAGAUGGCUCAGUGGUUAAGAGUACUGGACACUCUUCCAAGGAGCGGGGUUCGGUUCCCAGCACCCACAAGGGGCUCAUCACUAACUAUAACUCCAGUUUCAGGGCAUCCAGCUCCCUUGUCUGGCCUCCCCAGGCAUUGUAUGUGCAUGGUGUGCAAACAUACAUAUAGUCAAAACAUUCAUACACAUAAAAUAAAAUGUAAAAAAUAAUUAAAAUUAAUGCCAACAUUUUGUGUCCUUCAAAACUAUAAACACUUCUUUUAUGAUGGACAUUUUCAAAUUCAAAAACAGAAGGAGCCCUGCAUGGUGUUCCAGCACAUGGGAGGUGAAGGCAAAAGGACCAGAAGCCAGUCUAACUACACAGCAUCUUCAUUGCCAGCUUGUCACAGGAUACUGUGAGUGAUGUGUGAGGGACAGUAACAAAGCUUUCUAGUGUCACCCUCAGCAACCUGAUAAAAGUCUAGAACCAAACUGGGACUCAUGGCUUUCAAUGCAGAAAAAAGUGCCAGGACUGGGCAAUAGUGCAGAUUUGGGAUUUACUGAAGAUACUUUUAAUUCAGGUUUCAGAAGAGAGUUCAAAGAAGGAGGAUCUCAGAAAGCUAAAGCACAUCCUAGAACUCAGGUGUGGGGCUCUCUAAAAGGGGGUUAUAUUUCACCACGUUUACAAUAAUUUUGUUGGGUGUAGAAGCUAUUUUCUUCCAAGAAAGGCUGAGGACCCUAUUGAUAAGUAAAGGUUUAGAUCAUAGGAGAGCAAGACAACCUUUAUUACACACAGUUAACCGUCUUUCUGAGAUUCUCCCACAAUAUCCAGGGAGAGGAGUGAGGCCCCACCCCAGGUCACAGACACGCCAACCUCAAGCCAGGUUCAUAUGUAACAUAUAUCUAUAUGUGAAAGGAAUGAUGUUUCUACAUUAGCAGCAUUUACAGAAAACAUCAGCAGCAUUGGCAUUCUUGUUUCCUAGAUGGGAAACACUUUAACUAGAUUCCUGAGUGAAGACUCCUUCUCCUUCUUGUGUUCCCCUAAUUUUUCCUGUCUUUCUAGCCUGCCUCAAGCUGACUCUGUCUAAAAAAAAAAAAAAAAUCUAAAACCAAAACCGAAACAGAAAAAGCUGGGAAUAAAGCUCAGUUGGCAGAACGUUUGCCUAGCAUGCAUGGGUCCCUGAAUCCUUAACCUCCAACUGCGUAAGCCUGGCAUGCCGGCACAUGCCCAUAAUCUUAAUACUGGUGAGCUAGAGGUGGGAGAUGGGAGGUAAAGUCAGCAUCAGCCUCACAGAGUUGGAGGCCAGCCAGGGCUGCAUGAGACCCUCCCUGUCUCAAAAAUAAAAACAAGGCAAAACAAAACAAGACAGUUAAACCCACCUACUCAUCCCCCAUCCAGAUGGUGGCCACAGGAAGUCCACUAUUUUAUCCAAGCAGGAACAGAAUAAUGCCUCCAACUGAGGCCAACCUGGAUGCCAUUCCAUUUCCUUCCUGAAUACUUAAGCAUGUAUGUAGGGGUAAUAAAGCAAAAUGAAAAACUGA
This is a long non-coding RNA of Meriones unguiculatus (Mongolian gerbil), 5272 nucleotides long. RefSeq lists it as uncharacterized. The transcript is spliced from 2 exons. The record is from RefSeq and is a predicted model, not a curated record. NCBI's taxonomy places the organism in Eukaryota, Metazoa, Chordata, Mammalia, Rodentia, Muridae.